UGGGGAAUAUUGCACAAUGGAGGGAACUCUGAUGCAGCGACGCCGCGUGAACGAAGAAGGCUUUCGAGUCGUAAAGUUCUUUUAUAUGGGAAGAUAAUGACGGUACCAUAAGAAAAAGCCCCGGCUAACUACGUGCCAGCAGCCGCGGUAAUACGUAGGGGGCUAGCGUUGUCCGUAAUCACUGGGCGUAAAGGGUUCGCAGGCGGAAAUGCAAGUCAGGUGUAAAAGGCAGUAGCUUAACUACUGUAAGCAUUUGAAACUGCAUAUCUUGAGAAGAGUAGAGGUAAGUGGAAUUUUUAGUGUAGCGGUGAAAUGCGUAGAUAUUAAAAAGAAUACCGGUGGCGAAGGCGACUUACUGGGCUCAUUCUGACGCUGAGGAACGAAAGCGUGGGUAGCAAACAGG
Molecule: ribosomal RNA, 403 nt
Filed under: Verrucomicrobiota bacterium
Lineage: Bacteria; Pseudomonadati; Verrucomicrobiota
Description: Verrucomicrobia bacterium partial 16S ribosomal RNA
Rfam family: Bacterial small subunit ribosomal RNA
Source: RNAcentral